GUUCCUGGCUCAGGAUGAACGCUAGCGGCAGGCCUAACACAUGCAAGUCGAGGGGCAUCGGGAUUGAAGCUUGCUUCAAUUGCCGGCGACCGGCGCACGGGUGCGUAACGCGUAUGUAACCUACCUAUAACAGGGGCAUAACACUGAGAAAUUGGUACUAAUUCCCCAUAAUAUUCGGAGAGGCAUCUCUCCGGGUUGAAAACUCCGGUGGUUAUAGAUGGACAUGCGUUGUAUUAGCUAGUUGGUG
RNAcentral lists this ribosomal RNA (247 nucleotides) under uncultured bacterium. RNAcentral's name for it is "partial 16S ribosomal RNA". It matches the Rfam family "Bacterial small subunit ribosomal RNA", at positions 15 to 254 of the family's 1533-position model. The record is from RNAcentral.